AGAGUUUGAUCCUGGCUCAGGAUGAACGCUAGCGGCAGGCUUAACACAUGCAAGUCGAGGGGCAGCGGGGAGGAAGCUUGCUUUCUCCGCCGGCGACCGGCGCACGGGUGAGUAACACGUAUGCAACCUGCCCCUGUCAGGGGGACAACCCGCCGAAAGGCGGGCUAAACCCGCGUACAUGCCACCGGGGCAUCCCGGAGGCAGGAAAGGCUUCGGCCGGACAGGGAUGGGCAUGCGGCGCAUUAGGCAGUAGGCGGGGUAACGGCCCACCUAACCGACGAUGCGUAGGGGUUCUGAGAGGAAGGUCCCCCACACUGGUACUGAGACACGGACCAGACUCCUACGGGAGGCAGCAGUGAGGAAUAUUGGUCAAUGGUCGGGAGACUGAACCAGCCAAGCCGCGUGAGGGAGGAAGGUACAGAGUAUCGUAAACCUCUUUUGUCAGGGAACAAAGACUGGGACGCGUCCCCGGAUGAGUGUACCUGAAGAAAAAGCAUCGGCUAACUCCGUGCCAGCAGCCGCGGUAAUACGGAGGAUGCGAGCGUUAUCCGGAUUUAUUGGGUUUAAAGGGUGCGCAGGCGGUCUGUUAAGUCAGCGGUCAAAGCCCGGGGCUCAACCCCGGCCCGCCGUUGAAACUGGCAGUCUCGAGUUGGAGAGAAGUAUGCGGAAUGCGCGGUGUAGCGGUGAAAUGCAUAGAUAUCGCGCAGAACUCCGAUUGCGAAGGCAGCAUGCCGGCUCCACACUGACGCUGAGGCACGAAAGCGUGGGUAUCGAACAGGAUUAGAUACCCUGGUAGUCCACGCAGUAAACGAUGAAUGCUGGCUGUCCGGGGGGACUGACCCCUGGGUGGCGAAGCGAAAGCGAUAAGCAUUCCACCUGGGGAGUACGCCGGCAACGGUGAAACUCAAAGGAAUUGACGGGGGCCCGCACAAGCGGAGGAACAUGUGGUUUAAUUCGAUGAUACGCGAGGAACCUUACCCGGGCUCAAACGGGGAGUGGCGCAGGCAGAGACGCCUGUUUCCCACGGGACACUCCCCGAGGUGCUGCAUGGUUGUCGUCAGCUCGUGCCGUGAGGUGUCGGCUUAAGUGCCAUAACGAGCGCAACCCCCGCGUGCAGUUGCUAACAGUCAACGCUGAGGACUCUGCACGGACUGCCGGCGCAAGCCGCGAGGAAGGCGGGGAUGACGUCAAAUCAGCACGGCCCUUACGUCCGGGGCGACACACGUGUUACAAUGGGUGGUACAGCGGGAAGCCAGGCGGCGACGCCGAGCGGAACCCGAAAUCCACUCUCAGUUCGGAUUGGAGUCUGCAACCCGACUCCGUGAAGCUGGAUUCGCUAGUAAUCGCGCAUCAGCCAUGGCGCGGUGAAUACGUUCCCGGGCCUUGCACUCACCGCCCGUCAAG
Molecule: ribosomal RNA, 1404 nt
Filed under: uncultured bacterium
Lineage: Bacteria
Description: bacterial SSU rRNA
Rfam family: Bacterial small subunit ribosomal RNA
Source: RNAcentral